ACGGAGCGACGCCGCGUGCGGGAUGAAGGCCCUUGGGUUGUAAACCGCUGUCAGAGGGGAUGAAAUCAUGGUUGGCUAUCCUUCCAUGUUGACAGAGCCUCAGAGGAAGCGCGGGCUAAGUACGUGCCAGCAGCCGCGGUAACACGUACUGUGCGAACGUUAUUCGGAAUCACUGGGCUUAAAGGGUACGUAGGCGGUUAAUCAAGUCAGGUGUGAAAUGCCUGAGCUCAACUGAGGCACUGCGCUUGAAACUGAUUAGCUAGAGUAUUCCAGGGGUGUGCGGAACUUAUGGUGGAGCGGUGAAAUGCGUUGAUAUCAUGAGGAACACCGGAGGCGAAGGCGGCACACUGGGGAAUUACUGACGCUGAGGUACGAAAGCUAGGGUAGCGAACGGGAUUAGAUACCCCGGUAGUCCUAGCUGUAAACGAUGAGCACUGGGCGAGAGGCGAUUCGUCGCUUUUUGCCGUAGCGAAAGCAUUAAGUGCUCCGCCUGGGGAGUA
Molecule: ribosomal RNA, 500 nt
Filed under: uncultured Planctomycetota bacterium
Lineage: Bacteria; Pseudomonadati; Planctomycetota
Description: bacterial SSU rRNA
Rfam family: Bacterial small subunit ribosomal RNA
Source: RNAcentral